This is a long non-coding RNA of Felis catus (domestic cat), 25308 nucleotides long. RefSeq lists it as uncharacterized. The record is from RefSeq and is a predicted model, not a curated record. Lineage: Eukaryota; Metazoa; Chordata; Mammalia; Carnivora; Felidae. The transcript is spliced from 7 exons.
GUAGUCAGAACUGGAGUUUGAACACGUUAAGUGUGAGAGGUUGAUAGCUGAUGACACCCCAAAUGAAGAAUACUGAGUUGGGGGUUCAAUACAAGUCUGGAAUUUAGGAGAGAGGGUGACACCAUAGCGAGCAAUCUGGCCGUUGUCACUAAACAUCCCAGCCAUGUUGUUACAUCCGGCCAUGAUGUAAUAAACAAUUGGUGUAGGUAACAGAUGAAGGCAGUCCUAGGACUGAACUGCUGGGCCCCAGACAUGAUAAGCCCGGGAUAAGAAAAAUGCAACAGAGAUUAAGGAGGAGUGGCCGGUGAAGCAGGAAGAAAACCAGGAGAUGGUGGGGUCUGAGAAGCCAAGGAAAAUGAGUGCUUCAAGAAGCAGUGAACAUCUAUGUCACGGGCGAGAUCCAAUGGACAACAAAGCAAAGGUUUCCCCUACCUGCUGUUUCUUGCCCAUGGCAAGUGUUCAGCUCAGCCAGAAGCUGGUUAAAAUCAUCCUGAUGAGCAAUCCAGUUAUCCUGAAAAUACCCAAAAAAUCAAAUAAAGGUCUGGGAUAGGACCAGAAAUUUUGCGCUUCCAACAAGCUUCCAAGGAUGUGGGUGCCGAUGAUUCACAGACCUUCCUUUGUGCAGCAGGCCAUUAAACAACCAAAGAAUAUAUUGCUUCCUUCAUCAGGAAAACCUGAGGUGGCAUGCAAAAAUACAUGGGUCACAGAAAUUUUAAAAAUAUGAAGAAGUCCAGUCAAAGGGAGAAAAUAUAGUAAGGACAUUCGGAAAGCAAAUCUGGGAAUAUCCCUCACCAAGCAGGAGAAUCAAGUGGAAGAAAAUACCACUUGGGAGUCUAGGCUCUGAGCAGAGCUGAUUUUCCAGAGGCAAAUAUAUGUUUUCUUGAAGUCAUCCAACAUCAUUUUAUGAUUCUGUGCUCUUGGUUCACAGUCUAUAAGGGAAUAGCUACUCCCAAAAAACAGAAAAUGAAAUUUUUCCUCCAUGUUUUCUUUCUUUCUCUCUGUUAAUGUUUAUAUGUUAUUGCUAGACAGAGGGCAAGACACAGCAGAUUUUCCCUAUUCCUAGUGCAGCUUUUAACAUUCCUCCCCAAAUGCCCAAGGCCCUUCCUCUUCAGAAGGGUACAGGUGGGGAGAGUUACAUAACAAGAUGAGAGUGUAAUUCAAAUAGAGCUGGGGGGUUUCAAUGUACAUAUUGAAAUGUAAAUAUUGUUAACUAUUACUUUGUGUUCUAUAUUUUUCCUAAGUGUUGUGUCAUGUGUCCUUAAAAGGAGCCUGCUAGGGGAUCCUGGGUGUCUCAAUCUGUUAAGUCUCUUGAUUUCAGCUCAGGUCAUGAUCUCACAGUUCAUGAGUUCAAGCUCCACAUCAGGCUCUGCUCUAACAAUGUGGAGCCUGCUUGGGAUUCUUUCUCUCCCCCUCUCUCUACCCCUUCCCUGGUCAAGCUUGCAUUCUCUCUCAAAAUAAAUAAAUAAACUUAAAAAAAAAAAAAAAAAAGGGAGGAGCCUCCUUAACUUUUGCCUCUGUUUGUGCAGAAGACCAGACCAGCUCCCAUUGGUCGGAAGCUGCACAGGCUGCAGUCUGGUCUGAAAAUUGAACGCUGAGUUAGAUUAGUGCUCCCUUUCCGGCAUCUGAGGAGGGGUGCAUGUAGGGGACCUGAGAAGCAGCUUUGAAGGAUGAGGCUGUCCCAGGUAGCCUGGUGAUGUUUACUGAAGAUUCCAGGGACCUCCUUCCUUUGCAUACAUUUCUCCUGUGCCCAUUGCAAGCCUCACAUUUCUGCCAUCCCUGUGUAUAUGGGUGGGAGAUGGGAAGGGGGGUUCUUUUCCUGAAGGUGCUAUGGCAGCAUAUGUGGUUCCUAGGCUUAAUAUAUAUUAAGUGAGGGGCUGGUGUGUGGGUCUCCUCAUUAGGAGAGGACCAUGAGUUUAUUUGAAUGAAUAUGCCCCCAAACCUACCCUGCACCCAACAAAAAACCUCUCCUAAGGAUGGAGAAUAUCUCAAGGCAAGGAAAUAACUGGAAUUCUACUCUCAGAGGUCUUUUGCCAAAGAGUUUUCAGAUGAGGACUUCUUUUCUACUCUGCCCAAGUCUGGCAGAGGGAGGAUGAGGAAUUUCACUCCCAGUCCCAGGGAUGAUCUCUUCCUUCUUGUGACACUGAAAUUGUGGAAAGGGAUCAUAAGUCAAAUCAACGGGCUAAAAUCUGGGAGCAGAGGAAAUCAGGUAAGGUCUGAGAGAGAGUAAGCAAAAGAAGGGGCCAGAAGGAAGAAAACUAGGUUAAAAGAUGAAGGGCAGUGCAGGGCACAGAGGAAGGAUGGCUCAACGUCUGCCUCUCUUGGCUUUAGUGCAUCCAAACAGGUCUCUGUAGCCCUUGACUGGAUGCCUGGGUCCAAGGGCUGAUGGGUGGUGCUUUGGGACCUCCUGGAAUUGGGGUAUCAUGAACAUGGGUGUGUAUGUGUCUGUGUAUGACCAGCAAAUGUGAACUUGACAGCAGUUAGCUAUGGGGAUUGUUUACAAUAGCCUAUCACCCAGCUCCAACUACCAGGGACCAAGGUAACCCAGACUUCUCUUUACAAGUUAAGGAGAAAAGAGGGUCCAGAAUCACAAAUCCCCAAAUGCACAUAUACAUUGGCACAGGGGAAGAAUCUGAAAUUUUGGACUACUAUUCCCAAAGAGCAAUUUUCCCAUAUAUCUGAAAAGGGUCUUCUAUGUUGCCUGUGAUGAAAUGGUUUGCCAAAGCAGAUCAACUCAAUUUAGAAAGGAUUUUAGUUUAAGAUAAUAAGUGCCUCCCACAUCCUUUCCUUAGAACCCAAGCUCUCUUUAAACAGCUAAAUCCCCUGCAAGCUAAAGAUUACCAUAAGUUUAAUGGGAGUUUUGGAAAAGAGAUUUGGAAAGAAGUGGAUGGGAGGGGAAUUUCUAUGUCUUUCCUGGUAGCUGAGCCUUUGUAGGGCUGAAGAGCUGCUUAUUUUAUGUAAUUGGCAACUGAUCAUUUCUAAAGUAUUGGUUUAGGACUUAAAAUAAUCCAUUAAUGAAUCUCCUGUAUGGAACAUACAAAUGUUCCCAGAAGAAUAGGCUGAAGAUGGUGUGGGGGUGAUGAAGGAAUCAAAGGGAGGUCCCUUGGCUCACUAGCCAGAGUUGUCUUCUGAUGUGUUCUUGCUGGCUGAGAUAAGCUUGCACUCAAGGAGCCUGGGCCAGAGAGGGAGGUGCCCAAGAAGGGCAGUUGUAGAAAGUUGUAGGCUUAAAAGUUGGGAGAAGGAAAAGGGAGGGAAUGGGGAUGCAGAAGAUCAAAUGACUGAUUGUUGAGAACAUCCAUCUUUCCUCCCAGAGUCCUAGACAUACCCAAGACAGACCUCUCAGAGUCCUAGACAUAAAAUCUGUCUCUCAGUCUCUUUCUCUCCUCAGAGGAGUCUCAUGUGGAGCCAAACUUUUACUAGGAAGAAAGGGCUGAUAGAUUCCUUUCAAGUAGCAUUUCUCUCUCUCCUCCCAGAUGACAUCUUUUAAAUAAAAAUGGAACAUGUUCAAACAUAUAGAGAAGACUAGAGAUUAAUGUCAUGAGGCUCAUGAAAUUACCACCCCCUUUGCCAAAUAUGCUUGGAAAAAGUUUUUAAUAAAGCCCUUUGGAUGUUUGGAUGCAAUUGCAUUUGACACCUCCUCCCUCUUUCUCUGGUUGCCUGCUUCUGGAAACCUGCUUCCACUUGUCACCACCCCUGCCCACCUUCUCACCUAUCUUCCAGUAAAGAGCCAGGAAUGAGUACAGUUGUGUUCAAUUUUGUGUUUAUACUACUAUAGCCAUAAGGAAUUAUACUAAGGAAGCAAUAGAAACCAUUUGGUUGGUUGUCAGUGGGCUUUUUGAAGGCAACUUUCCCCAGGGAUUCAUUUGCAGCAUUUCUAGCAUAAGGUUCUAGGGGGUGGGGGUGGGGGUUGUAUCCAGAAAAUAUAACACAGAAGUCUUCUGUUUCUUCCUACCCUUCACCCUCCAGCACUUUUAACACUGAAUUUUCUCCCUAGCUUCUUCUCAUUUUAUCUGCUUUGGGUUUUCCCAUAUCUGGCCCCUAUGCCAACCUUUGAUUGCCAGCCUGCAUUCAGGCUCCAUGGGUAAGUAGAGGCGUCUCUGUGGUGCUCCCUAUGUGCAGAGGUGUGUCAGUAUAUCAGCAGGCAGUUGAUGCCUGGAGAGCCUGCCCACUUACCUCCUUGUUUCCCUUGUAAAAUCUCUGCCACUCCCAGGGGUCUCCAGCUGCUGCCAAGAAGCCUUUGGUUGACUCAGAGGCAACGCUCUGCUCACACUGAUGCCAAUAAAUCCCUAGAAUUUUUCACUCCGUGAUUAUUUGUCCCUCCCUGACCAUGAAUAAAUGAAAAGCCACACACACACACAUGUUAUUAAAAUGAACUGUUUAUAUUAUCUCAGUUGAGUCAAUACAUUAUAAUGUAUUAAAAUGGAAAGGUACAAAAUUGAAAUAAAUACUUUCUGAUUCAUGUAUAAAUCUUUUUUUUUUUUGUCAAGAUGACUUUUAUCGUCAGUACAUGUCACAAGAAAACAUUUAAAAUGACACUGAAACAAUCAUUUAAAUCAUGGUGCAUGGAGGAAAAAGGUAAAGAAAACAACUUUUGGCUUGUUUUGGCAUGAGACCUUGAUACAAUUUGGGUUCCCCAAAACCAUGUGAAGGGUGGUAAAAUAGAAAUGCUCAAAACUGACUUAAAAAAAUAAACAGGCUUUACAAAAACCCUCUUUUUGAUAAACCCAGCCACUUCUCUACAUGGUCUGCACUUACAGUAGAUACAUUCAUUAUUGUCCAUGGGAAGACAGCAACUGCCUUUCGUUUUAAAGAGCUUGGUGGAGAGGCUGAAGAAAUACGCUGCAGCUGAAGGUGAGUAGAAUGUUCAGGAGAACAAAAAGUCUAGAUGGUCUUCAGGAACGGCACUGAGAAUGAUGGGGUGUGGAGGGUCUCUGGAACAAGAGAUGGAGGAGAGGGAGCGUGAGGAGUCCAGAUCUGAAGCAAAGCAAGUCUGAAGGACAGAAAUGGUUGUCAGCAGUGAAAAUGUGAUGUGGGGAUCUCUCCCCGUCUGAGCAGUCCUGGGUUUGUCCUUGGCAUGGGUUUGUCUCUGCCUCAGCAGAGGCUAACCCAGUGCUUUGGAGAUAGGGUUGGGACUCAUUUCAGGCACAGCAGCACUGGGGAGACCGGGACAGGUGUAGGGGUUAACAAUGAAUGCCAACAAAGGGGCUUUCUCUUCUGGUUCUGACUGCUUAUUAGGUGGUUGUUAAGGCAAUAAGGACUUUAGCAAACUAGAAGUUAAGGGCAGCUAAAUUCAGCCAGAUUGAAGGUAAACAAAAGGUGAGAAGGAGUCCCUUUCUCCUCAGCUACCUUUCCCCCCAAGCACAGGAGGCCUCGGCUCCUGAAGCGCUGAAUUUACAGUACGCAGUAGCAGAGGGCGUGCCCUUUGGAAGGCUCCAUGGAAAAGAAGGCUUAUUCCUGACUUGGGGCAUUUUAUUCUUCAGACUCUCUUUGUUGAAGUUCUUUCAGGAGGGCAGGCUAUGCUCACCCAGCUAUUGAGUGAAAAGUGGAAGCACCAAAGUUUGUGCAGUUAGAAUAAGUCCUUUGCUAUAGACCAUCUGGUCCAUUUCAAUGGCCUUGAACACCAUCUGUCCUAGAAAGGCAGGCCUGAUGCUCACAUGCUUCAGUGAGACCUAUGCUCACCUGGAGAACAGGACUAGCCUUUCAAGCUUCAGGAAUAUUUCCCUUGCAUCAGAUCGAAUGACAGCUACAAAGUCCAUGGAAGUGUGAGAUCCUUGGAAGGUUUGUGAGCCCAUAGGUGGAUUCUUAGGGGAGUAAUAGAAACUCCUUUGACUUGAAUCCGCUCACAGAGAAAUGUACAGAAGACGGAACAGAACAGAUGGAAGAAUCUUUUCUUUUCUUCUUGUUCUGGAGUAAAGGAGAUGGACCUUGAAAUGCUAUGGGAAGGAUAAACCUUGAGAGUUGCCUGCCAUUCUGAGCAGCUUCUGGCAAGAUGCUGGGUGAUCCGACCACUGAGACCCUGGAAUGGAAGAACUGGCUCUCAGGCAAUUGCUAAAAGCACCUUGGGCUUCAAAAAAUAAUGGUGCCACUCAAUGCCCUGAUUCCUUCUCUACAACAUGGAUGGACCCUGCCCAAAGAGCCUCCUGGGAACAAUCAGAUGGACACCAAUUCACUUAAAAAAUCCUUGGAGAAAUAACCCACUUAUCUGGAAAUCUCCUCACCUUUUAAGACCACACACAAAAGUAACAGCAACAAAACCUACAGAAAGAAGACACAGAAGUUCUCAGGCCAACCAUAAAAGACAUCUCAAAGUGUUUAUAGGGAGGCUCCUAUUCCAUGGAAGUCUCCAAGAACUCAUACUGUACAGGUCAUGCUCAGGGUGACCUGUGGGAAACAGGCAUCAUUUUUCCUGGGGAUACCUUAUUGCAUAAAUGGUCACUAAAUUUGUAAGUGCCCUAAAACCUCCCACACUCUCUUAGCCUCUCUGGCCAUCUGCAAGAAAACAAAAAUGUCCUGGUCCUUGAUGGGUGCUCUGAGCUACCUGGCCUUUGUGAGCUGUUGGGAAAGGACAUGAGUGGAGCCUGGAUCUUGAAGAAGAGUGGGACCAAAUCUCCAAGCCCGUACCCCCUGCCCCCAGCUGUACCCCUACUGACCACGAAACCCUGUGCAAUCAUGGAGGUUCUCUGAGCCUCAGUUUCCCCAUUUGUAAAAUGGGGCAGAGUUUCUCGCCUUGUGAGAUUCUUGCAAAGACUUAGCUAAGAUCACUGUAUGAAGGCAUCUGGGACAGAGCCUAUACAUCACUGGCACUCAGUCAAUGUUAGCCGAGUCUCAGUUCUCCUGUCCUCCACAAAGGGCUCUGCUCCAUCAUGGCUGAUGUCACCUGCCACAGGCUACAUUGGACUUACUCUGACACCCCUACAUUCCUGAGACUCCAGUAAUCCUAAAUAGUUUUUUCCUCUAAAGAAACUGCCCCGUUCCCCCAUGAGAGGAAACACAACAUCUGUAAAGGGACUUUUUCUUCAGAAUCAGCCAGCCUGAGAGAGCUUGGGGCUAUACUUGAUUUUUCUGGCCCUGGCAUCUGGGACUCUAUACCUGUCCCCUGCAAGGUCUCAGGUACCAAUCAAUGGCAAGAACCCAGCUAACAAAGGGUCAGCCGACAUACCACAACAGGACCCUUCCACUCUGAUGGGGAAGGUUUUUGUCAACAAAGGUUCUGUCUGUGCUGCUGCUGAAUUGUCAGGCUUCAUGAUAGACACAUUCCCUGGGUCUAUAUUUAUGGUUGCAACCCAAUAAUGCCAGCUUUGCAGCUGUGGCCUCAGAGGUGGCCCACCCCUUCCCAGAAAGGCAGGUUGUCAUAACCCCAAAAUAGGUAUUGGGCACUCUGCUUCGGCCCUGGUGAAGGAGCAAGGGAUCUAGAACACUUCCACCCUCUAUCCCCUCUUCAUUUUGCCCUGAGCUCUGACCCUAAUGGAAGACCUGCAGCCUCUGGGUCCCUGAAGCCAUCUCAGGGCCUGAGCACCAGUGGGCCGGCCAGAGAAGAGUGGGCUCAUGGGGCUGGACCUUGGCAACCUCUGAGAAGCCCCUACCAGCUCCCCAGCCACUUUUUGGGAAGGGCCAGGAGUUGGAAAAUCACAUGGUGUUCUGGAAGUGAUUCCCUUGAUAUUUUCUGAGCUGUAAAGACAAGCCGGCUUCUGGGAAAGACUCCUGGGUCUGUAGGCCUAAAGUUCUCCAGAAUGCUACCUUUUCAGGAGCAGAAAGAAUGAGUGAUACAUUCCUGGGAUGAAUCAUAGCAGGUAUGACCUAUGGAACAGGACAAAAGCAAAUGAACAGCACUUCAUUAAGAUCCCCUGAGUAGCUAAGAGUAUGUGUAGGGUAGGGGAGGAGUCGAGGAAUGAGGCCAACAGAGAAAAUGCAUUCGUGUCAAAGGACUGACUUCCUUUUUCAAUCCAAAGGAAUUCCAUCUAAGCUCCCACCAGCCAGAGAACGGAAGCGUGUUGUGCUGGAGCAGUUUAGGCAGUGUCGGAAUUAAUCUUUUAAAAACUGUCUCGGAUGGCUCGGCCACCUUGUGCGAGAUUCGUAAACCGUGUGCAAAACUCAGACUUGUGCAGGCAACCAGAGAAGGUAAGAACCUGUCUUCUGCACGCAGGGCUUCCCCUGCCUGAUUUGUGCUUUGUCUAACCCCAGGAUCUCUCUUCUUCCCAGCGGCUCUUUUUAAAGACUGGUGAAGGCAGGCGAGGCCAAAUUGGCUACAGGGUAGAACCCGCUAUUCUCCCUCUUGGUGAGCUGCUGAACACCUAUUUCAAAUACCUCUAAAGGAUGGACAGCCUGAGGGCUGAGUUCCCGAAUGCUUUUGAUGCUGGGCUCUUGAAGAUUCUCUCUAUGUCUGACUUUCAGAAUGAAAGCAGAUGCAGUAACCCCACCCAGGCACAUUGCAGUCACUGGCUGGCAAGGGAGGAGGGGUAUUAGCAAAAAGUAGUGCAAAGGUAGGGAGGUGGGAUUUGGCACUAGGUAGAGCACGUAGAGUCGGUGGGAAGGAGGCAUUGGCAUAAAGCGAAGGUAGAAAAUAUUCACCCUCUGGGGAUAGGUUACUCCGUAUAGAUGACCACAAAUAAGGAACAAAAACACCUGGGUCAAAUCCUUCCCAGAGUAUGCCAGCUCCCUGCCAGGGUCUGUAUUCAGGACCAAGGUGUAGGUGCUGAUUUAGCUGAAGGUCCCUGUCAUUCCCCCAGCCCCCAAUCCCAGAGGUCACAUGCUCAUUGUCCCACUUAAGCCAAAUUUUUUUUCUUGCCUUAAGCCAACACAUCCCCAAAACAUAUCCUAUAAAAGUAGAUUUCAUAAAGAAGAUAAAUAUUUUGAAUCAAGAAGAGGAUGAAAACAAGUUGUAAACAUGUAACUGAAACAUAAAAAUACACAUCAGUUCACUUACAGAACCAAACAGGGUUACAUCGAAUCAUUUAAAAUGAAAGCAAAGGAAAACUCUUCUCGGGAGCUCUUAAAUUUAGGAAAAGAAUCACUGUAGCAUGCUCACCUUGAACCAGGGAUUGGAUAUUGUGGUUCUUGUACAAAGGAAAAUCUGGGAGGGAGGUGGAGGUCCGAGGUGAAGGAGGGAGGAAGAUUGCAUAGUUGUGAAACAGUGGCUUCUCAUCAAGGUGAACAAGUGCGUCCUCUGAUAAAAUAGCGUUUGAUUUUUUUUUCUGUUCAUUUCUGUUCACGGUAUUUUUCUCUGUCCACCAAACAUGUCAUACACUGACACAUAUAUACACUACACACACACAUGCGAGCGCUAAACACCUGAAUUACACAGCCAUACUUGAAAACGCCCCCGCCCCACUCGUUCUGCGCAAAGUUCCUAUUUGCUUUUGCUACAUCUUGACCCGUUUCUUGUCAAAACUCCUGUUUCGGAUUGUUUCUUUAGCAAAAGGGAUUGAGAGGGGGUGGGGGGGCGGGGGGGCCUUCGAGGAAAGCACCGGAAAUGGUUCUAUUCUCUCACUGAAUUUCUGUGGCAAUGCCUCGCAUUUCGGUUAGGGGCUCACUAGUUUUUAAGAGAUAGGAAACAACUGCCUCUUUUUUUUUUUUAAGCUUUCUUGAGGUAAACAUUAUUUGCUAACACCUUAGGCAGCAGACACGUUUUAUAGUGCUGUUGAGAAACUUUGCAAAAAGGAGGAAACACCACCAAAGUGUAACAUCGAUGCUUAAGAACAUUUAGAAAGCAAGUCCCCGUUUUAACUCAUUCCCCCUUCCUCUCAUUCAGCCAACUCCUUCUAGUAACAUAUAGAGCAGAACAAAGCUGAUUAAUUGUCUAUAUCAUACUGGGCAUCCCGUAUCCCAACCCACGGUAAACCUCUCUUGCUCACAUACUAAAAAUUGUGAGUCAACUGAAAAAUUAAAAUAGAGAUGAACACACUUUACAUUUUUUCAUCCUUUCUAUCUGCCUCAAGCAUAUAUAUAUAUAUAUAUAUAUAUAUAUAUAUAUAUAUACACAUAUAUAUAUGAUAGUUUACAUUAAUAUAGGAAAUAGCAGAGGUUUUUAGUUACAUUUUAUACAGAAUCACUGCAUCUUAUCCUUAUUUUCUAUGCUCUCUCUCUUUUUGGAUAAACAAUUGGCUAUAACAAUCUAUAGUAAGGCUUCACAGAAAGAAUUCUGCAUGUUUUGUUUUUCUCUAAGAACCAAGGUUUGUAAAAUGAGGUUUGAUUCUAGCACCUUAUGCAGUAUUAGUGAUGUUGUUCCCUUGGGAGAAAUUAGCAGUACCCAACACCGCAGGUGAAUCUCUAUCGGUUACGCAGUUCUCAAAGGCAUUGCCAAAGGGAGGACGCUCGACACGGCGGAGAUGCAGGAGCAGUGGGGACAAAACAAAACCCCAGGAUUAAAGUCUUAGCAUCGUACAAAUAAAAUCUUAAAACCGUGUCAAGUUGCUGUCUCCAAAUUAAUAAUGACUUAGUGUUUCAGGGCCACCAAUGAAUCCCUUUAGGUUAUCCUUCCCCAUGAGGUAAGGAAAUAUACUAUGAUGUCCAUUUUAAAUGGGGAGACUGAGUCUGGGAGACCAUACACAGGUCACAGAGGAAACUGUCUGGGUAAGAAACAGGGUGGGGGGAUGCCCAGCCUCUCGCCUCUUACUACCAGACUGUUCCUUGUCACCUCUAACUGGUGACUUGAGAUUUUGGAAAAGCAGCUUAUUGGCCACUGAUGAGGAAGCAAAACAAACAAACAGUUUUUUGUUUUUUUUUUGUUUUAAAUAUCAGCACCAAAGGAAGUUCAAAAGAAGCUGCUCUUUGCUCCCUUACCAAACAUCCCAUAUUACGGAGACAGCAACUUUCACAAGAAGGGAAAAGAAAAUUAGUCACAGGAGUAACCCAUCUCUUUUGUGGGUGCCCUUCCCCAAAGUCAAACGCUCCACAGCGCUGUUAGUUUCAGUUGAGUAGCAUCGAUUUUUGCAGAGGAAUGAUCAACUCCCACCAAAGCUGCAUCAGAACCUCAAUUAUAUAAUUAUAUAACUAUAGUGAUAUCUCUAUCUCUAUAUCUAUUUAUAUAUGUAUACAUUAAAGUCUUUUACUGCACUGGCACGUGAUACCAAGGUAACGUACUGGCAUUGCUGUUUGCUGCAAGUGGCCGCCUUGACUGGAGUUACACGAGAGAGAAGCACCACGAGAAAAGGCACCACAAGGUUUCAAGAAGUUAAAUUGUUUGUUGUCACCGCCCUGAUCUCGCCAUGGUGGGGAAACAGAAAAGUCUUUCAUCUUUAGCAAGGACCCUGGAACAACUGAUUCAAAGAUUAUCCCAAUCCACAUACAUCCAACUCAACUCAACAGGGAGAGAGGGAAGAAAAGAGCCGGAUGUGGUUCGUUUUACUGCUAUUUCUUUUUGGCUACUGGAAAAAGGAAAGCAUUUUCAUUUUUUAAAAAAAAAGGCGGUGGGGGUGGGGGAGGGUGGGGACUCAGACACUGGAAACCAAGCCAUCCCAAAAAAGGGAGAAUAAGAACAAAAGUCUUGUGCUAAGGAAAGUCCUACAUGGAAAAUCUGUCUUUCUAAUAUGAUUCCUUGGUGGCAAUGCAUUAGGGAAAAAAGAGAGAGAGAGAGAGAGAAUGAUGGAAUUACAUCCAUAGGCACCAUUAGCCACAAAUAGCACCGGGUCUAGAUUGAUGAGGACACAUAGAUGUCCACAUCUGUCCACAAAGCUGAGAACCAGGAGUGUUGGCUUAGAAUCAACAUUACUUCAUCCUUAUAGUCUGGCCAAGAAAAUAGGAGGUCGUUGGCCAUUCGGAGCACCAAGAAUCAUGUGUGCUACUGAUGAACCAGAAAAAAAGAGGGGGCAGUCAAGGACUGCAGAGUGGAUGUUAAAUGGCAUUUUUAUUUUUAUUAGGUACUUGCCAGCCUUGAAAUAUCCCCUCCUAUUUCUCAUUCCAGGUGGGGGAAUACACUCCACAUGGGAACAGAGAACCUAUAAUUUUUGCAGAAAGUCUCAAUGGGUGAGUGGUACAGAGUUCUCCUCACCAGCCAUUUUCCUUCCUUUGCUCCUGGUCUGUGUCCAAAAAAGGGAAGUCAGCCAGCCAUGCUGGUGUGAUCUACAAGGCUCCUAGGACUUGCUGUCUAAGCGCAUGGUGACCAGAUGGGGAGGCCUGAGAUCAGGAUCGAAAUGGCUUACUGCAGGGACCCCUCUUCCCAAACUCUGGUGAAUGCUCCCACUGAACACAGAAGGCUGGUUGGGGGCAGGGGUGGUGGUGGUGGUUCUUGAUACAUCUCUGUGGCAUCCUUAUUUAGAUUGAAUUAUAGCUUUUCUUUCUGGUUUCUCGAGCUAGGGGGGUUUAGCUUAAGUUAUCUAUUUACUUAUUUUGAAUUGUGAUGCUUGUCUAUACUGAAAAUAAUACUCCCAUUUCAGCACAAAGAAAAAUCAUUCCUACCACCUUCUAGCAAUCUAACUAAUUUUUCCAAACCUACUUUUGGGGUGUGGACAACAGGGGCAAACAAAAGACUUCUGCCAGAGGAGUCCCCCAUUUGCAAAGGAUCUCCUCUAGAACCUUCCUGGGACAGAGGAAAAUCACCAGGUUACACCACCUGCCUUGGCCCCUUCCCCCACGUCUCCUUUUUUGCUGUUUCCAAUCAUGUUUGCCAUAACAGACCUGGGUGUUUGGGAGUCUCUGCCCAUGAUUUUAGGAGAAUGCUCUCGGCCCAUUUAUUUCUAACAAGGGUUCCCAGAACUUCCUCCUAGACAGGACAUGUAUCACUGGCCUCCAAGCCCCUGCCUCUCCAUUGACCUAAGGUGACUGGUGUCCUGGCCACGGUUCCAGCAAACACAGUAGGUGGAGUCUAGAUGGGAAAGUGCAAUUCUGAGCUGCUAGGACAGGGAAGGUGGACUCUCCCAGCCUUCCUCUUUAGCUCCUCCUGCUGCUGCUGGCCAGCAGAGAUGGCAGAAAGAAGGGAAAUCCAAAUCUGUCAUUAUAACCUGUGGAAGGCACAACCUGUUGCUGACCAGGCAACCAGAAGCAUUGGUUUGUGGCCCUAGAGAAGGGAAAUAUUGACAGGCUUAGCUCAGAGCUGCCUCCUCCAAACAUCUUCCCUAUUUUCGAAGUCAAGCACUCCCUCCACUGGACCCCUGCAGCAUUUACUUUGUGCCUCUAUGUAUUUAUCAUAUUCUGCCUUCCACUACACUAGAGUUCUUUGAGUUUCUAGCCGAGUCAUAGUGGUCAGAGUGUGUUAGAGCUGAAAGAAACAUUUUGGAAACAAAUUGAUGACUAGAGAGCCUACAUAAUUGAUCCAAGGUUACACAGUGUUGGGCCAGAGCUCAGAUUUACUAGUUUCUGACGGGGAGUCUUCAUACUGUUCUGUUAGGACAAUGGAGAUGUCAUUUUAGCAUCUGUACCUUCCAAAUUUUCAUUCAAUAUUUUUCCUCCCUUAUUGCAUCACCCAUGGGUAAGGACUGUGUUUUGCAUGUAUUAGGUUCUCAGUUAAAUGAAAUUAAAUCACAUUUUUUAGAAUAAGAGCUUUUUUUCCCCCUAUCCAAGGGGUACAUUAAUUACGUAGCACAUGUCAGCAGUCAAAUGCUGAUGGGCUCUCAUUGAUCUGUAACACAGAUCUCUUUGCAUAAGCCAUACUGUGUAGGUCAAGUGUGAUGAAGGGCAAGAGUCCCUCCUAGGUUUCCACCCACUUUCUUUGGCUAAGCCACUUUCGAAUAGUCCUUUCUCUGGAAAGAAGGGACUAGAAAUAGGCUCAUUUUUAUUCCCUUAGGUUGAAACUUUGGUCAACAGCAGGUGGCCAUAAACCUAUAUGUUUGGGAGGCUCAGCUGGUAGACCUAAUCCUUAACCUACAGUUCACUCUAAAUUAUUUUUAACACCACCAAAGAGUCAAGGAAGACAUAGUCUAGGCUUUGGAAGCUAUAUUCCAGUCACACAGCUGCUGCUCAGAACAGAAGAAAAGGGAAAAGGAAAAAUUUGCAGCCAGAUACAAGGGUGAGUCUCAUGUGGGUGAGAGAAAACUCCCCAUCUCGUUGAAAUGGACAGAGAGGGACUAGGGUACACAGCAUCAGCCUGGAAUUGACAAGUUCCAGAACUUUCUUGUUAUGGAUGCAUCCCAGAUCAUUUGCUCAGUAGGGGGAAAAUAACUGGAAUGUCAGAAUUAAUGGUGUUUACAACUCUGCUUCCUCUAAAUCCUCCAAUAUUCAUACAAACCAGUUUUUCAGACAUGGCUAAUGCUCAGAGUAAAUAGAAGCAAUGAGAGAAUAUUUUGUUAGCCUUUUAGGAAAAAUGGCAAAUUGUAUGCACUCAAGCUGUUGAAUUACCUGAGAAUUUGAAUAGUUCUGCUCCAUAGUCAGUUAGCAGUAUCACCAUCUUUACUGGGUUAAAAUCGGAGGAAUGACUAGUAGAAAAAUAUCCAAGAAAGACUAAACAAAUGUGAAAACAUCCUGAAAAAUAAUCAUCAUUUUGAGAAGAGAGAUUCGAUUGCAGCCUUCUGACCACUGCAGGCUGCGUCACCUAACCAGGCAGGCGGGUUGAGAGAGCCAGUGACCAGGUGAGCACAGGAGCAGACCCAAAACAUUACUGCAGGGUGAAGUCAGUGAGGCCAGAGCCACGAUUCUGUGGUCUGUUCUCAGGCAGACACAGACUUAGAAAAUGCUGCAAAGUCUGCCCAGCUGCAGGGAGAAAACUGUAUUUGCUUUGAAUGGCAAACCCACAGACAUCAAGACAUGACAGAGACUUGAGGGCAUUCUGUUUCUCUUUCUUUCUCUCUUUUCCCUUUCUCUUUUUGCCCUCUCCACUUCCCUUCCUUCCUUCCUUCCUUCCUUCCUUCCUUCCUUCCUUCCUUCCUUCCUUCCUUCUUCCUUCCUUCCCUGCUUGUAUAUUUUCCUCUGUAACAAAUGUGUAAUUUUUUUAAGUAAAGGAAAAGAGUCACAUAGGAAGGCAGGGUUGCACCAUUAGCCCCUCCAGAAUUCUGUCUCAUCUUCCUAUUUCCUACCUCCAAAUUUCUCUCCUUGUUGGAGCCCAUUUUCAGUAACACCAAUAGAAAAGUAGGUUUCUUGGAAACAUGUCUUGUCACAAAAAAGUCCGUGUAGGAAUAAAGAUAAUGGAACUGUUAUACACUGAAGAAUGACUUGGGGAUAAGAGGACAUCGAUAGGGGAGGAUGUCACAUAUGCUCCUGGAAUGGCAUUUUGCCCAGCUGGCUGUGUGCCGUACCACCAGAUGUGCAUCUGUGACAUGUUAUGGGAAGGGACCCCAAAAGCUGUUCCUGUGGAGUGGGCUUGAAAAGAUUUCUAGGGGUUUUGUCCAGACCCUGUGGUUUUCUCCUACUUAACACAAGGCCUUCUGGAUAGCAGCGGCUGUCCUACCCGCACCUGUCCAGAUUCCAAACAUUCUUAGAAUAUGUCUCACAUCACUGCAGGUGGCUUCUCUCGCCCUUCCAGUCAAAGGAGGGACCUCAGCAUGGGAUGCGAGUCAGGAAAGAAGGCCUGUAACUCAAAGUACUGUAUUGCAUUAGUACCUUUCCCCUCUAGGUAACCUCAAAUGCUCUUUUCCCUUCACCCAGCAUAAGCAAAUAUCCUGGCACCUUGGGUCAUGUGGAUUCUGUCACAAGGGCAGGAGGGAAUUUGAGUGGCUUUUUCACAAUGAGUGUACCUAUGUCUUCCCUCUGACAGACUCCAGGUGUGUUGUGGCCAUCCAGGCCUACAAAGUGAUUGCUCCAAAAUGUCUCCCCUCUAUUAAAGUCACCACAAGGGGAUGUCACACUCCCCAAGUCUCCAGCAGGGAGGAGGCUGCUUCACUAGGCUAUCUUCCCAUCAUCUGAAGACAUGGCUACUGUAGGGCCAGACCCAUCAGGCUUGGGUUUCAUGGGCCAGAAAUCUGGCAGCCUAAGGACAUCUAAUGCUGACCAGGGUCCAGGCAAUAACUUCCACCUUUCUUCUUUUGGUAUGCUUCCCUCUCUUCACCUGCUCUGGGGAGGGCUGUGCCAAUGGGUCAGAGUUAUUUGGUGUGAUCUGAACUCCAAAAUGUGGGGAGCUAUCAAGAAAGCUACUGCCCGGAGUCUAUACAUUGCUCUGUGGACCUGCUGAGAAUUCUGGGAGCAACUGGAGAGUCUCAAAAGCCCAGCACACCCCCUGUUGGCCUCAUGUACUGGGUGGAGGAGAAGAAGGUGCAUCUCAGCCCAGGGGGGUCUUCAUGGCCCCACACCCUGGAGAAAGAAAAACCCAUCUAGGCUAGGUCUAUUUCAAGUCUGGCAAGAGCCCUGAACAUCAAGAUACUCUGCUUCAUCAACUUUUUAAGUCCUUUUAAGGAAAAGAUACAUAUUAUAUCUAUACACACACAUAUGUAUGUGUGUGUGUGUAUAGUAUACCUAUAUAGACAUAUAUGUGCCCAAUAUUGGCAUGUUUAUGUAUCUAGCAGUGAUCAGUAAGCUUAGAAUGCAGUUAUGUGAUCAUGUACUUCAACUGGGCCCCUUUUAGUUUUGCACAAUUUGCAGUAAUCUCAGAAUCUCAGAUCACUUCAUAAUUUAUGUGAUUUCCAGUGUACUCUCUCUCUCUGUCUCUGUCUCUGUCUCUGUCUCUGGCAUUUCAUAAUCGCUAUAAUUUCAAGCAAAUAAAAAUAAAGCCCUCAAAAAUAAGGAGGUACCAUAGGUUAGCCUCCAUGUUGAAACUGGAGGGGACCCUACCACAGUGUGACCCAUCACAUUGCACAGGGCUUUUUGCUACGUUGAUGUGCUAAAUGCCCUAGAUAGCCCAGUGGCUGUGAAAAGUGUAUGUUCACUUGGAGGCCAAUAUUAGUCUCAUAAGUUAUCAGUGGGUGUCCCCAAAUGCUGAAGGAACAGUCACCCUUUCUCUCCUGCCCUUCUUUCAUAAGUCUCCCUCAGAACCCUUUUAAAGAGCCACACCUUUUAAAGGCAUAUAUAUGUAUGUAAAUGAAGAAAGAAAUGUAGCCUGUCCUUGACCUCAGGCAGGCUGGGCCAGUUGAGAAGCUGGGGCCAUGGCUCAGAUGAGGGGAGAAUGACAUAUUUGGUGGAAGCAUGCAGCAGCAGUGGGGUCAAGGAGAGGGAAAAGGCUAAAGGGGUUGAGUUUGGACAAACAGCCAACCUGAAGCAGUACGCAUAUGAGAACCUGCCUUAGGGAAGGAAGGCCUUUUGGAAUGAACACCAGAGGUGGGAGCUGUCUUGGACACAGUCUGGAGAAGGGCAGAGAAGCGGCUGAGAAGCACAGCGUGAUGUGGGGCCAGGCAGCACCAAAGCUGAAGACAUCCCUUCCUUGGGUCCUGGGUUGGAAGGAAAAGGGCUCCGUACUACCUUGGGUUCCUAUGCAAACUCACAUAGGGCCUCCCAAGUCCUGUGUCCAAGGUGGAGAGAACCACUGUGGACCACAGAGUCCCACAUCUUUUCAAACCAAAUAACCUUCCCUUUCUCCUUGUCCCUUCUGCCCUUUGAAAGGAAAAGAAAGUAAUCCUUUUCUUUCCCUAAAGACGGGCAUCAUAUAAUCAUUUUCAAAAUAACAAAUGGUUUCACUCUGGUUCUAAAACCCAGAGGAAGCCCCCACUGAGUUCUGAGGAUGUUCUUUCUGUGGCACGGAGAUUUCUGGGGGGCUGGGGAGACAGCCCUAGUAAUACUGACAGAACAUUCCCAAAACUAAGCUCUGGCGCACGUCCAGGAAGCUUCACCUUGGGGCUGGAGUUCCAACCUGUUUAGCUCAAUAGGUGUUUGAGUUUUCGUAGAAACUAGAGAACUUUGGGCACAGCAUUCAACAAGUCAUUUGAGAUGUGCUAUAUUUUAGAAUAUUUAAGAAUCCAGACUUGAUUCUUUGAGUGUGUUUGGGAAGGGAAGAACUUUGCACAUGGAUAAACAGAUGAGAAAUUUUAAAAGACUUUUGAUAGCUAAGCAACUGAAAACUCCUCCCCCAACCACCAUGGGGAAAAAAAAGUUUUUUAAAGACAAGUCACAUGUUUUGAUUUGUUUUCUAGUAAAGACCCUUGUCUUUGGAAGCCAAGACUUCCCAGCAAACAACAGUAUACCAGACUCUCCAAGGACACAAACCAACCAAAACAUAUCCAGCUAUUGUUCCAGCACAGCAUAAGCAAACUGUUCUCUGGGUCUGGAGAGAGAAGAUGAAGGCUAUGGGAAUACUGAGGCUGAGCAGGAGAAAUGAUUGAAAUAAUAGAGCCGUAUCUGCUGGUCACAGGAUGCGCUCACUGAGAUUUGCCUUCAUUUUCCCCCAAAGGGAGGAAAUCAACCAAUAUUAGUUUGCUUCUCAGAAUAGCAUUCUCUGAUGGAAGCCAAAAGGUUUAAAGCCCUUCCUUCUUGCCCAAAUAUUUGGGAAUGAAAGAAGAGUAGCCUUUCUGGGUGGAAAGACAGAGAACAUCUUUCUUGACCCACAUAGAGAUAACUCUGUUAUUCUGUCCUCUUGUAAUCAUUUAAAAAUAUCUAUUAAUCAAAAAAGAGGAGAGGAGCUAGAUCACCUUCCCCUUCAAUUGAAGGAGCUCAAUUGAAGUUUAAAAGGAUUUUAAAUAGGAAGCAAACUUGAUAACCAUAAUACUUUUAUCCUCAAAGUGCUUUACCAAGACAUUAAUUACCUUAUCCUCACAACACCCCUGUGAGGUAAGUAAGCAAUACUCUUCCCAUUUUACAGAAAGAGAAAUUGGCCCCAAGAGUGCCUUGACCUAGGUCCGCAGAAGGAUAGAGUCCUGGAUAUUUUACUUCUAGUGACAUGAUCUGUUCAUGAGAACGUGCCUUUCUUUUCUUGAGAUGCUUUCUCUGACCCUUCCAUAAAACAAUAAUGCUUAAAUAUGUCACUCAGUAAAAUCGAUUUCCUCUGUUUGAGUAGAAUAUGCUUUGCUAUUUCUGCCCCCAGAGUGUGUAGGAAGUAACAGUUAGACUGUUGCAAAUAUUUUCUUUCCACAUACUUCCGGAAGCCUUCCUCUUCUUUAUCACUCUUCCUACCCAACUACUGAGUCAUUUUGUUCUCUGUGGUUCCACGUGUCCAUCUUCGAAGUCCUCAUUCAUAAAUGCUAUACAGUUCAUUUGCCAUCCAUCCCAGUCAAAAGAGGAAUGCCGAUGAGAACAGGGAAUCAAUUGGAGGUCUCAUUUAUUCCUUCCUUCAGGUAACCAUCAGAAAUACCUUGUGGAAACAAAUAAUCCCAGCAGAAUUUGGCCUAUCCACAGAAUGGUCAGAUACAACAUCAAACAGAAGUCAUUACUGAAUUCCAAACUAUGGUCUGGUCCCUUGUGCUAUCAAAACAAUAAUAUUAGUCUUGGAGAACAGAGUCAGAGCAGGUGGGAAAGGAGUUCUUGUCGGGGAUCCACAGCCAAAGAGCAGGAGGGUUUGCAGCAACAACUAGAACCUGCUUGGGUGAACUAUCUGUUCCUUUGGGAUAGUCUCAGAAGGUGCAUUUUUUUAUAUAGAAUUUUUAUAUUGAAAUAUACCUGAACUCCAAGGGCCAGAGCCAGGUUGACUGAUUGAGAACAGGUGAAACUUCUAGAAUUCUCCUCUCCAAGAAGGUUCCAAGAGCCAAUAGAAAAUCAAUGUUGCAGCUGGUCCUCCUGAAGUGCUAGUGUUAUUCUCCACUGCUCCCACCUGCCCUCACUCUAGUUGAGUCCUAAGAACAUGGAGGUUCUUAGCAUGGGUCUAUUUUCUUGUUCAAAGGGUAUCUUGGUAGUUGAAUUGAUAACAGUCAAACCAUAGUAAAGAGAAAAAAAAGAAAAAAGGAAAGAAAAAGAAACUCAACUAAAUUUUCCAAUUCAAAUGUUGAGGAAAAAAAUACCCUGAUUUGGAUAAAAAUCAAUAGUGAUAUUCCCCAGCCCCUGUUUGUCUCUGAAUCUUUGCCUGCAGGCUGCACUCAAAGCACACCAGGGAAUGAUUAAAACCCACCAUUGGGACACACAUUUUGGCUGAUGGAUGUUUUUUAAAAAACAAAGUUUGUUACUUUACUCUGCAGAGAGGCAAAGACAAGGUGAGUCCAUUUGAUGAGGUGAGCCUCAAGGUUGAAAAAGAUUGUGAGAAAGAACAAAAGUGAGGGAUAUUUCCCAAAGAGCUUUCACCCACCUUAAAAACCAUCCAAAUACUCCCCAUGCACCUAUUCUCUUGUCUUCCCAAAGCUCAAUGAAUAUCAGUGUUCAAAUUGAUCCCUCCAUAUAUUCUCUGAUACUUUAGGAAAAAAUAACAUCAGGACAUUUGGUUUAGAACUACAAGUGGCUGGCUUGAGCUAGGUGACCCCUGGUCACCUGACCAGAGUACCAUUGUGCUGGGUUCACAGUGCUGUGAAGUGUCUAAGAACUAUACGUGUGUGAGACUUCUCCCUAUCCAGCAGUACUGCUCAUCCUGUGGGCUUCCAGGUUCUACUUCCUAAGUAACGAGGUCACCACUAUUCCUUAUAUGAUGCCUUCGCUACAGGCAAUAAUGACUGAAUCCUCACAGCAUCCCUGAGCAGGAGAGAAAGAAGAGGUUGGCUUUCUCUCUCUCCACUUUACAGAUGGAGAAACCAAGGCACCGAGAGGUGAAGUGAGUUAUCCAUGAUCACAGUGGGGACCCUGAAUCAGCCUGUGAUAUUUCCUGAUCUUUCUGGGUCUAAAGACAAGCUUCUAGGAGGCCUACAGCUGAAACAAAUCUCCUAAACCCACUCUAGCCUGAGGAUCCCAGAGCCAUGUUGGGGAUAGAGAAACAGACCAAAGGAGUUCAUCGAAUUGGUGACCAGUUGUCUAUAUUCACCAUGACAUAUGGCCAAAGGCUGCUUCUAGAGAGAUGUUCACUGGGUUACCAAUUGGCACUAUACCCAAAGGAAAUUAUUUUUAUUGUCCUCCUUGGUAGACUUGUCCUCCUUAAGGAUGGACUUUAGGAGUAGUCCUUCCUGGAUGAGCAUGGGUGCGCUGACUGACUUCAGUUUGUGUUGUGGGGUCUUGUGAUUCAUGUUAAGGAUUGGCAGGGGCAGGCGUCUCCUAUCUGGGCUUGCAUAUUGUUCUGCAUGGGAUGGGGCAGGCCAGGGCAUAUGCCCUUUAGGUCCUGCCUGCUCAUUUCCAAUUUGGUCUAUUCUUAGCCCUUGACACAAGGUGUUGGCCAUGUGCAGGGGGAACUCCUACGGUUGUCCGUCUGCUGCCCUCAGGAGCUGCCAUUAAUAGCACUCCCAACCUUUGGCUCCAGUACAUACCAGCCAUGUCCUGCCAGUCACUGCAAGGAAAGGUAGAGGGAGUGAGAAGGCACAGCUUCUUUCCAGGAGGUGGAGAAGAAGCAGAUGGUGCCCGAGAGAGUCAAGUAAGGCAGACAGAACCAGGCAGGCAAAGAAAUAAAGCUGCAGGCAGAUCAAGGCAGUGCCCUUGUCUUUUGAUAUUUGGCCAAUAGCACAAGAUGCGGUGUUUUAAGCAAGAAACAAAAUGUUUAAAAUAGCUAAAGAUGGAUGAGAAAGAGGCUUGUGUUGUCAUUGCAGGAAUGCAUCUUUUUCCCCAGUGAGGGGCUUCAGAAAAAAUCUCUGAGAGGGCAGAGUUGCCUCUUUACAAGUUUUGCAAUUGGGACAGACACACAUUGAUUUAAGAUGCUCUGGGGGCAGCCCUCAUACAAACUUAUGGUUUUAUAGCCUGUGAUAGGUCAACCACUGCAGUUUCCAUGUGCAGGAGGUUGACCUGCAGAUGAGAAUGGAAUGUUACCUAUAACUGUGGCCAGUUUUAGAUGAAGGGAUAAUGCUACAGACUUUAACCUUGAAGAACUUCCCAUUUUAUUCACCUCAUUGACACCUGGACUUUAAUAAGAGAAGCUGAUGUUGACUUAAAUUCACAAGUAUCAUAGGAUACUUGUGUGUGCUUCAUAAGGAGGGCUGCCCGACAGAAUCUAGUAAUCAAUAAAUGUUUGAGAAUGAAAUGAACAGAACUGCUACCUGUAAGGCUGAUCCAGCCACUGGGAUGAGUCUGUCUACGCAUCUGUGUCCUUCUCUUUCAUCAUGCAGGAUCUUUCCCAGGACUCCUGUGAGCUCUUCAAGACUUUCCUGGCAGUUUUCUAAGUAUACACUAGGAACAUCACUUGGAAUCUAAGUGAAAUUAAUUGCAAUGAGCUCUCUUCGCAUUCUCCAAAUUUAUAUGCCCCCCACCAAAUCUGGCAGUGUUAUUUUAACAUUUUUUGGUUUAGCAAAGAGAUAACAGAUUUUAGCUUUUUGAUAAGACAAUCAAAUGAGUGUGCACAAGGAAUGCACCCACAUCCAGGCCACCACCUGAAGGUGCUGUCAUCACACACAAGAGGGCUGAAAUGGCUCACUUUGAAUAAUGAGGCACUUUCCUUGGAAAAGAAAAUGCCAUCUUGUAUACUAAGCAAAUGUUAGGUGGCCCAGUUCACCCCACUGGAGAAGCUGGGAGCCAGAAGGUGUGGAUACUGUAGGUAGAAUAUAUCCCAGGCCCAUUCUCCUUUGGGAUCUGACAUCCUUUUCUCUAGACCAAAGGCUCUAAGCCUGCAUGCUACUGUCCUUUCCUUGCAUCUGUUCCCAGGUAAUGGAGAAAAUUUUGCUACAGUCUAGGGGCAUCAGGGCUUGGGGCUUAUUAUAGAUCCCUCCAUCCCCAGGAGCAGAGUAGACAAGGAAAGGGGAGGUAUGCUCUAUCAGGCACAUAAACACAGGGAAAGAAGUUUCUGUGUAUACAGAGGAGCAGGACCAUGUCCAUUAAGAGGUCCUCCAAACAAGAUCAGCAUCAGAAACCUCUGCUUCUGCCACUAUGACUGUGUGGGAGGGGGUAAAAGUAGAGGGAGACUUGAGAAAAUGAUCUCGUUUGGUGUUUUUUAAAAACCUGUAAAUUUUUCUAAGAAUAAGGCUCCAAUUGGGUGGCAUAGGGUCUGUCGCCUAUGGCAUGAGGUGCCACAAGGCCAAUAGAAUCAUCCUCAUGACCAUGGUCCAGACAGGUAUAUUUGUACUCUUUUAAGCCAUUCUUGGACUCAGAGGGGCCAUGGAUAUUGAGGUGAUGGUAAGUUAGGCCACCAGGGCCAUAGAGUAUUGGCUGAAUUUGUGCCUGGGGAGGUAGAGUGAGGGGGAUCUGGCAGGAGUGGGGAAGCCCCUGGGGCCAUAAGGAAGUGUCCUCCUCGACUGGAAAGGGACAUGUUGGCAGCAUGUGCCAUUAAGAGAGAUGGUGCCUGUUCCCCAUAGCACCCCUGGCCAACUUGUUCAGAACAAGGUGAACCUUUUGGAGACAGAGUGGAGAGGUGUGUUUGAGAUAGGAGAAACUUUGGGGGGGUGAGUGAGGCCAGUGGGGGCUCAUCUGAUAAAUUAAACCCUCUUAGCUCCCCUCCUCAUGGUCUAAAGAGACAUGAUAUUCCGACUUGGGAUGUCACAGGUUUGUGGCAAUGAGCUCAGGGACAUCACCUCAAUAUUAUCUGAGGAGAAUGAGGUUUCUUUUCAUUCUGAGGCCCAGAGAAAAGGCACACUCCCUGAGCAAGGGAGAAACAGAACUUGCAGAAAGGAUGCUAACAAAAUCAGCCAGAUUUUAGAGAUAGUACAUAUUUCUGAGAAUGAAGAGCCAAAGUUCUAUGGGGGGUUGUGGGCAGAUUUGAUGGGGGGAGUGGCAGUAAGUAAAGAAAGGAGAUUACCUUCCUAUUUUAUUCUACAGCUGCUUGUACAGUGUGCUCAUCUCCCACCAGAACUAAAUAUAGAGAGUUAAUUAGUCUUCAUCAAGCACUCUGCUGGGGGGCAGCUGGGGCAGCAUAGCCCUUAAGAGGUUUGCCAGGCGCUCAGGCAAAUGGCAGACUAAAAGCAGGUUCCCAGUGUGGGAUGAGGCCACCACUGCUCACUGAGUGAUUCUGCCACAGAGCAGCCUGAAGGGUCUGGGUUUUCAGAACCAAUGUCUUCCAGGUAAGGAGACAGACCUCCCAGGGGUGGCUCUGAGCAGGGGAAUGUGUGCAUUCCGCCAGCCACCAGCAGCCCCAGAAGCAACUGGAGGUGGGGAGAAGACCCAAGGGGACCUGCUGGUUGGGACUAGUGGCCAGAGGGUGUCCAGGGGAUUGGAAAACUUAAGGACCUGCUAUUGGCUGAUGGUACUGAGAAAGCAAAUGAAAACUCUCCUCUGUUCAUUCUCGUCAUGUGUCCCUGCCCCUCUCCCAUGUUUUCUACUUCUUUCCAGACUUUUCUUCCUUCUUCUGUCCCUAUGCCAAGACAGAUUUCCCUGCUACUGCUCAUAAUGCAUAUUUUCAUUUUCAUCACUAGGAAAGUAACUGGCAUAAUGGAGAGGUGGGGAGUAACAUUUCACAGGAUAAGUGUGCUCUCCUGCCUGAGUCUUGUGGAGCCCAGUCCAAUAGAGAUCAAAAGAAAGGAUUUCUGAAAUGCCCCGUGGUCUUCUCAUUUGCUCCCAGUGGCUAAGACCCCAGAGGGCCCUCCCUGAGUUGGAAGUUGUCACCCCAACUUUUGGCGCUCCAAGUCCACAAAUGUUGGUAAUUUUCUCAGUUGCAUGUAAACAUAAAUACACACACACACACACACACACACACACACAAACACACGUGCACACAUGCUAAAUGUGGAGUAGUAGAAUACAGGUGGCAAAUUAAAGCCUGUGACUGUAUCAAAACGAAACAGAAGGAGAAAGGACAGGCAAACAAGCCAAAGUGGCAGAGGUCCCAAAGGGAUGCACGGGGGACAAUGUCUAGGAUUGCUCCAGUGAUGGACGUCUAUAGGGCUCUAGGCACACAUGGCCCCAGAGCCGAGGCAGACAAGAGUUAGGACUAUAGCAAGCCAGGAUGGGAUGGCCCCUCUCAAAUGGCCUCACCUCUUCUGGCCUCAGCAGAGUAAGCAGCAAGAUAAACCCUCGGCAGGGAAGCAGAAUAAAAAGGAAAGCACCGCUGACCAGAUUGGAAUUCCCAAUUAACUACUGAGUGGCCCAUGGGCCUGUCCCUUGGAUGGGCGGAGACAGUCCCACAUGGCUGGUCUUUGCCAAGGCCUGGGUGUGCUCUGUGCAUCAUGCUUCCUAGACGGAUGGGCACGAGGGCCACAGGCUCUCUGCACCUCUCCUCCCUUCCUCCUUUCUGCCAGGAAGGACCUGAGGAGACAACCGAGUCAGGGAGAGGGACAGGACGGCGCUGCUAAGUUUAGUAAUAAUAAAGGAAAUCAAAGGGACCUGAACAAAAAAAGGAGCAUCCAGUUUACAACUGAAAGAAAAUUUAAAACUUGUUCUUUUUUUUUCUUUUUUCUUUUUUUUUUUAAACAGCUUUAGAUAAAUAAUAAAGGGGGUGGAAAGGAGAAGCCUCUUUGAAUAAUAAUUAAAAAAAACCCCACAAACAUAAAAAAAUUCCUCAGGUUUUGAACUUCUUUUGAGAAUAGUUCAAUGUGAGGUCUUGCACCCUAAACAGUUAUAUCUGGAAUUAAAAAAAAAAAAAUUGCAGCUCCACACAACAAAGACAAA